This 711-nucleotide ribosomal RNA is filed under the name Burkholderia sp. Z42_2. Its description in RNAcentral is "bacterial SSU rRNA". It matches the Rfam family "Bacterial small subunit ribosomal RNA", at positions 53 to 760 of the family's 1533-position model. The record is from RNAcentral. Lineage: Bacteria; Pseudomonadati; Pseudomonadota; Betaproteobacteria; Burkholderiales; Burkholderiaceae.
CCAUGCAAGUCGACGGCAGCACGGGGGCAACCCUGGUGGCGAGUGGCGAACGGGUGAGUAAUACAUCGGAACGUGUCCUGUAGUGGGGGAUAGCCCGGCGAAAGCCGGAUUAAUACCGCAUACGCUCUACGGAGGAAAGGGGGGGAUCUUAGGACCUCCCGCUACAGGGGCGGCCGAUGGCAGAUUAGCUAGUUGGUGGGGUAAAGGCCUACCAAGGCGACGAUCUGUAGCUGGUCUGAGAGGACGACCAGCCACACUGGGACUGAGACACGGCCCAGACUCCUACGGGAGGCAGCAGUGGGGAAUUUUGGACAAUGGGGGCAACCCUGAUCCAGCAAUGCCGCGUGUGUGAAGAAGGCCUUCGGGUUGUAAAGCACUUUUGUCCGGAAAGAAAACGCCGUGGUUAAUACCCGUGGCGGAUGACGGUACCGGAAGAAUAAGCACCGGCUAACUACGUGCCAGCAGCCGCGGUAAUACGUAGGGUGCAAGCGUUAAUCGGAAUUACUGGGCGUAAAGCGUGCGCAGGCGGUCCGCUAAGACAGAUGUGAAAUCCCCGGGCUUAACCUGGGAACUGCAUUUGUGACUGGCGGGCUAGAGUAUGGCAGAGGGGGGUAGAAUUCCACGUGUAGCAGUGAAAUGCGUAGAGAUGUGGAGGAAUACCGAUGGCGAAGGCAGCCCCCUGGGCCAAUACUGACGCUCAUGCACGAAAGC